GACACCGUCCCCAGAAUCCAACACGAUGCCUGUGCAGGGGAGAGGCAGUAUGUGAGUGGAGGGGACCAGCAAGCGGCGCAAGUCGGGAUACUGCAGAGGAUUAAAAAGCGGGGCUGGAAUGUUGGAGCAAUCCUACCAGGGCCAGCGUGGGCCAUGUGUGGGCCAUGUGUGAGCGCUUACCGGUGGUACGGCCGGAAGCAUAGAGGGACAGCACCGCCUGGAUAGCCACAUACAUGGCAAGCACGUUGAAGGUCUCAAACAUGAUUUGAGUCAUCUUCUCCCGGUUAGCUUUGGGGUUCAAGGGGGCCUCGGUGAGCAGAGUCGGGUGCUCCUCAGGGGCCACACGCAGCUCAUUGUAGAAGGUGUGGUGCCAGAUCUUCUCCAUGUCGUCCCAGUUGGUGAUGAUGCCAUGUUCAAUGGGGUC
RNAcentral lists this ribosomal RNA (424 nucleotides) under uncultured bacterium. Its description in RNAcentral is "partial 16S ribosomal RNA". The record is from RNAcentral.